ACAAUCACGGUUUGUCGUUUUUGGCCAUCUAAAUCACCAUUUUUCCAGGUUGAGAGAUUCUCACCAUUGAGUUUUUCCAUAGAAGUUCUGCAUGGAUUGUGGUUUGGCUACAGAGUGGUUCUGUUGGCUUCCCAUUUCCCCCCUCCAAGAACUAGGUUUUAUGCAGUCCCUCACCUUCCUGCCCCACAUACUCCCCCGGGGGCAGAAGUUCUGCUGCAAUGGCAGGGAGCACCCCCCGCGGGUCUUGAGGAGCCCUCUUGUGCCAUCCUGGUGGCAAGGCCCAUGAACUUCCUCAGCUGCCCCCUGAGCUUGGGAGGAGGCAAAACCCAGGCAACUGGAGAGCUGGAAGCACAUGUUCUUCAUAGCCAGAUCCGUCUCGGGAGUGAUUCAGCAGGCAGUGACACAUCCACUUCCUAGAACUCUGCUCUGAGAGGAAGGACAGGGAUGGCCACACACAUGGCCUCACAGAUGCAGCCCAAAGGUUUUGGAAUCAGUCAACAUUCCAUCACGUACUCACUUUGCAAACUUCUGUAAUAAUAAUGAUCAGCAUUGUUUGUUAAUCUCUAACAAUGUGACAUGUACCGAGUAAAGUUUUUCUGCUUGCAUUAUCUUGUUUGAUCCAUAGUCAUAUGGGAUAGAUUUUACAGGUGAGGAAGCAGGCUGAGAGCAAUUAAGCAACUUGUCCAAUACCAUAUAACUAGAAAGUGAUGAAGCCAGGAAAAACCAAGGGUCUGGUCUACUUUCCUAGUCUCUUUGCCAUACUGCAAAUGAAUUACAUUUUCUAAGUGUCUGGUAUCUUGUUACCUUGUCUUUCACAUCAGGAUAUUAGUGCCUGUCUUGCAGCAUUAUUUCAUUCUCUCUCUGUCUUUCUCUCUCACUUAGCAUUUAUUGAGCUACUAUUUUAUUUAUGCCCUGACUUACAUCUGGAUAACAGUAGGACUCACUAGCCAAAACACACACACACACACACACCACCACCACCACCACCACCACCAACAACAACAACAACAAAGAAUGUAAUUUCAAUAAUUCAAUAAAGUAUGCAAAAUGUACCUGUUGAAUGGGAGG
This 1068-nucleotide long non-coding RNA is filed under the name Felis catus (domestic cat). RNAcentral describes it as "lncRNA (ENSFCAG00000048396.1)". The record is from RNAcentral. Lineage: Eukaryota; Metazoa; Chordata; Mammalia; Carnivora; Felidae.